UUUUUUUUUGGUUUGGACUGGAAUAGAUUUUGACUGGUAGAACGAGUUAGCUUGCAAGCCUAGGUCAAGAAUAAAAUUCUUUACCUAAUAUAGAAAAAAUGAACUUCAACUUGUGGGCUGUAUUAAAUUCUCGAGUAUACCUGUGGCUAUUAAACUUCAAGAUUUUCUUGAUGUACCCUGACACGAAGGAAAACAUCCUUAAUGAGAUGUAAUUUUCUGACAACUUCAUUCAUAUGCAUCCUGUCAUUUGGUAAUCUUGCAGAGCACUUGAGUCCAAUUUUCAGCAGGGAAAUAAUGCAGUCAAUCUCUCUUCCACCAUUAAUAGUUUCCCCCCCAGGAGUCAUAUUUCUGUUUUCAUCUCCUUCAAGAAAAAGCAAUGGAUCCACGAUCUCAUAAACUAGUUCGUGCAACGCCCCAUUAACAUAGUUAUGUAGAUCAAGAUCACCCACGAACAUAUCAUCUGUUGGCCUUCUCCCUGUAAUCAUCUCUAGCAAAAGAAUGCCGUAGCUGUAGACAUCCCCUUGAGUUGAUGCCGCAAGACCCAUUCCAUACUCUGAGAUUUUGUUUCUAGACAUGUUAUUAUUGGGUAGUAAAAGAAAAAACUAUAAAAAAAAAAACUAAGUGAUUAAAAUUAAUCAAAUGUUAGAUUGGGGCAUAAUGGACCUUCUUUUAUAACAAAGUGACUUGACUAAAAUUAGCUACUAUGCAUCAGUGAUUAGAGAUCUCCUGUAAAUCUGAAAAAAAAAAUUUAAAAGAAUUAAAUGUCCCAAAAGUUCUAUAUUUCUGUGCACAAUUAAGUAACAUCUUGACCAUAAAAGGUAGUAAAUUAUAAUUACCUGGAGCUGCAUAACCGAUUGAUCCUUUUAAGGCAAUAGUACUGCUGGUUCUUUGCUCGGAAGAAGUGUUGACGGGUUUUGGGAGAAGCCUUGCCAAUCCAAAAUCACCCACAUGAGCAACAAGAUCAUUGUCAAGAAGAAUGUUACUUGGUUUUAGAUCACAGUGAACAAUCUCAGCUUCGCAGUGGUCGUGAAGAUAUUGCAAUGCUGAAGCCACAUCAAUUGCAAUAUUUAGCUUCUGAGAAAGAUUAAGACUUCUUGAGCUUGUUGCCUGAGCAGUUGUCUCUGAAGGAUGCAGCCACAGGUCCAGAUUUCCAUUUUCCAUGAACUCAUAGAUUAGAGCUUUGAAUUCAUCACCCUUGGAAUCAAUACUGGAGCAAUAACUCACGAUAGAAACGAGGUUUCUGUGGCGAAUAUUUCUCAAUGCUUUGCACUCGGCCUUAAAACUUUUCGAAGCUCCGUUCUUUUGAAGAUCAAGAACUUUAACUGCUACAAGCUUGUUGCCAUGUUUUUCUAGCCUUCCUUUGUAGACAGAUCCAAAAUUUCCUGAACCAAUUAAGUUUUCUGGAGAAAAUCCAGAUGUUGCACGAAGAAGUUCAUGGUAAGAAAGCCGUAAGAGCUCAUCGAUUCUAGGGGGCAUGAUAGAGAAUCCAGCCACCAGUCUUCUUUCUCUUUUUCGAUAUACCAAGAAAUAUAACAACACUGUAACAAGGACCAGAAGCGUUGCCGGUAAAACAAUGGACAGCAAUAUGACAACCUUCAGCUUUCCUCUGUUUUUCCCCUUAAUCACUGGACAAGGUGGGAACUCCAAUUCCGGAAUGCCUCCACAGAGUUUGUUGUUGCCAAUCAAUGAUAUUUGACUUGCAUUGCUGAAAAUCCCUGUGUUUGGUACCUCUCCCUCGAUGUUGUUGUAGGAAAGGUUUAAGUACCUUAAAUAUUGAAGCUUCUCAAGUUCUUUUGGUAUUGAUCCAGUCAAGUUAUUACGUGAAAGGUCUAAUUUCUGGAUGCUCUUCCAAGAAGCCAAAUUUGGUGGAAUUGUUCCUUGGAAAAAAUUGGCCUGCAUGGAGAGAUUCGCCAGAUUUGAACAAUCAGCAAGUGAUAUGGGUAUAUCUCCAGCAAAUUGGUUGUGGGAAACAUUGAAAUCCACCAAAUGUAUAAGCUUUCCAACUUCAGGAGGUAGAGAACCACUAAAUGAAUUUUCACCUAUUUUGAUGUACAUCAGUGAUGAUGAGUGCGUCUGCAAAAAUUGUGGUGAUAUAAUUCCAGUGAAGUUGUUAUGAGAUAUAUCCAGAUAUUGCAAAUUUUGACAGCUCAUAAGAACAUUGUCAAAUAUAUUGCCCCCUUCAAACUGGUUAAAUGAUAAGUUCAGAUGGUAUAGACGUGUGGCAUUGCAUAGGGUAGAGACUAUCUGUCCUGACAACUCAUUUUGGUAUAGACUUAGAAGUUGCAAAUUUUGUAAUUUGCCAAAAUCUCUUGGAAUGACCCCUGAAAGAUGGUUUUCUUCAAGGCCAAGGAGAUAUAGGCUGACAAAAUUUCCAAAUCCUUCUGGAAUAGUUCCUGACAGUUGAUUUCCCCCCAAGUACAAUUGAGUGAGUUGAUUUGAGAGAUUGGACAUGACUCUAGGUAUAUUACCUCCAAAUUUAUUGAUACUCAGGGCAAGGAUUCUUAGAUUACUGCAGUUGGUCAGUGAUCCAAUAAAACCCAAGUCGCCUCUAGAAUUACUGCCGAAGAGAUUAUCACUAAGAGAUAAAACAUUAAGUUGUGUCAGAUCUCCUAAAUUAGUUGGAAUUUGGCCUGCAAACAUAUUUUGGUCGAGAUCAAGUAUCUGAAGCCCAGAAGCAUUGGUGAUUGAAGUUGGAAAGUUUCCAGAGAACUUGUUUUCCCCAACAGCUAAUAGUUUCAGAUUUGGUAGGGUGAGACCUAUGUUGGUUGGGAGAUUACCAUAAAAGGAAUUUUCGGGUGCUGAAAUGGUAGUAAUGGCUGAACUAUUAAAGAUAGAAGCAGGGAUUGUACCAGAGAGUUUAUUUUCUGCAAUUCCUAAUUUAGCUAACCUUUUUAAGAGCCCCAUUUCCAUGGGCAAAUUUCCCUCCAGAUUGUUAAAGCCAAGACUGAGUGCAGUCAAUGAUGAUAAGUUACCAAUGCAGGAGGGAAUCUCUCCUGUAAAAUUGUUUGCGUGAAGAUAAAAAAUUUCAAGCUUCUUCAAAUUGCUCAGCUGAUCAAUCGGAAUUUUCCCCUCUAGCUUGUUCAUCUUUAGGUUAAUAGUCGUCAUCUCUAGGCAGUAGCUCAGGUUUGCUGGGAUUUUUCCACUGAUUGCGUUACUUGAGAGGUUCAAGACUCUCAGCCUGAAGAGGCGACCAAAUUCUUGGGGAAUCUCACCAUGGAAUUGAUUCUCCUCAAGAUGGAUGAGCCUCAUGAAGCUUAGAUUUCCGACAUGAGGAGAUAUGGUUCCAGACAACUGCUUAUGCCUUAGAAUCAAGGCUAUGACCCUUUGAUGUCGAGUACCACAAGUGACUCCUUCCCACUGGCAAUGGUGCUGUGAGUAGCUCCAAGAAUUCAGGACUCCAAACGGGUCAUCAUAUAUCUGCUUCUUGAAUUCAAGCAGAGCAAGGCGAUCGGUCUCAUUUUGAAAAUGUUUUGCAGCUGAAAAGUUCACGGCAACUGAGAGUAGGAGAAAAAUGCCCGCUAAUGUUGAUGAUGAGCGAAAUCCCCACAUGGUAUUUGGAAUUUGGAUGAGCUGUGAAGGCAAAGAUGGAUUAAUUUGCAACAAACUGAUGAUUGAAUGAUAAAAGUUUCUGCGGAAUGGGAACAAUAAUGUUUGAGCUGUUAUAGAAUCGUGUGUAUAGCCCACGCAAUUGGAACUAAUUUUCUUGGUAUAUUUCUGCGGAAAAUGAGCUAAACCUCGUUGUCAGAACUUAAUACAGAAAUGGUCAGUAAGCUUCCACCAACUUGCAAUUUACGCAUAUCGACCAUGACUAAUACUUUUCAAAGCUGGGAUUAAUGUGAUCAUCUACCAGAUCGAGAUGAUGAUUAACAGGAAGCCUUCAUUUGUGUGGAGUAUUUGAUCUUCCCAAUUAACACAAAUCACAAGAAUCUUGAUAUGCUAGAAUCUGUCGGUUGGCUUAGGUGAGUUCUGUUUAAUCUGUUCCCAAAUUUUCCCCUUUUUAUGUUGUUUUAAUGCCAUUUUCUCAAAAAAAAAAAAAAUUUAAUUUGUUUAAAAAGAAGGGUUUGUUUUUUAUGUUAUAAUUUUUAGUUUUUUUCUUUUUUUUUUUUAUGUUAACUUAAUGUCAUAUGUGCAUAAUCAGACUGUCAUCCUGAAGCUAAUUUGCUUCAUUUUAGAAUGUGUGAUAGACAAGAAAAAGUUUUUUUUUUUCCAAAACAUGAGAGACAAUUUGGUGGUCCCAAGAUUUUUAAUGAAACGGAAAAAUACUUAGUGAAGACUAUCAUUUAAGGUAGCAUGUACGGUCCGCAGCUGGGAAAAUGGUUAUUGGUCCUUUACGUAUCAAUUUGGAAAAUGACCAAUACACCAAUUCGAAAAAAUACACCAAUACACCAAUACCCUUGAGUCUGCUCAAGGGUGACAGUUUGCUCUGUUUGCUUUUUUUUUCUUUUUUUUUUUUUCAAGAAAUCCACCUUGAGAUGGUAGAAAUUUUGCAUGUAAUCCUUCCAGUUUGCUGAGAAAUAAAUGAAAAUAAAAUGAUUGAGCAAACAUAAAAGCCUAAUUUUCCACAUUACAUAUCAAACACCAGGGGCCUUGGCUUAGCAACGAGACCAAGUCCCGAUCACUUGUUCACGCUGCUAUUUCUUCUACCUGUGCAUUUACUUAUCUAUUUAUGUUUUCUUGUUGUACAUUCUUCUUAUUUUUUCCUUUUAAUUGAACAAUAAAGUCCAUGAAGCCAGUUAAAACUUAGAAUUAAUAACAAAGUUCUUUUCAUUUUCAUUUUUUUUGUUCAUCAAUAAAUAGAGGGUCAGUUUGUAGUCAAAAUCCUACUGUUUUAAAUCUUGAAACAUGCAUUAAUUAUCCACUAAAUCAUAAGCUCAUUCUCAUUUAGCAAACAACUCCGCAUUCUGCAGUAAACUCAAAGCAGAAAAUUUUCCAAGUAAUGUAUCACUGCUAGACAGUUUUUUUUUUUCAUCAGAAUUUUGAUGUAUUUUUUAAAAAGGUUAUGACCCUUUUCCCCGAUGAUGAUGAUGAUGAUGAAAAUAAUAAUGGUAAUAACCCCAGUGCACUGAAGCCAAACAUAAGCCCCAUUUGGUAAGUGAGUUUUUUGGGAAUUUGUCUAAAAUUUUACUGUAAUUUACUGAAGAAUUUAUAGAAAAAUUUUUUGAAGUGUGUAAAAAUUUCUUUAAGAAAAGAAAAACUUUCCUCUUUUUUCUCCUUUCUUUCCUUUCCGCUUCUUCUCCCCCACGCCACCGCAAUCUUUUUCUCCCUCCCACCUCACUAACUGCCCGUCCUUGCCAGCUACCAGCGGUAGAAACUUUCUUUUUCUCUCUCUCCAUCCUACCUCUCCUUUUUUUUUCUUUUCCCCUUUCUUUCCUUUCCUCUUCUUCUCCCUCACUCCACUGCAAUCUUCAUCUCCCUCCCUCUAUCUCCUCCUUCCCUUCUCCUCUCCCCUCUAUCUCCUCCUUCCCUUCUCUACUUCCUUCCUCUCCCCUCUUUCCCUUCUCCUCCUUCCCCUCUAUUUCCUCCACCCUCUCCUCCCCUCUGCCCCCGCCAUCUCCUUCCCCCUCCCUUCCCCGAUCAUGACUAGAUAUGGCAACUGCUUAUUCCUUAGAGUCAAGGCCGUUGUUAAUAAACCCGAAUCGACUCAACGAUUGAACCGGUAGGUCCGGUGACCCGACCAUUAGACCAACGGGGUCUCUAGUUUGAUCGGACAAGAAAUUGACCUGGUCAAACCCGAUUGACCCGGUAGUUCAACCGGAAACCCAGCCAAUUUUUCAAUUGACCCGAUUAACUUUUUUUUUUUUUUUUAAUUAUGGGUCUUUGUUUUUGAAACAAAAUGUAUAUAUGCUUUUGAUAAGGUUUGUAUACUGGAUCUUCAUUUAAAUAUAUAUAGACUUUACCACUUGUUUAGUUUUUAUUUAACAACUAAAUUUUUUUUAAUAAACUUGUUUAUUUUUUAUUAUACAAUUAAUCUUUUUAACUUUUAAACUGACAAUAUUUGAUUAGUUAGAAAAUUACUUUGUUUUUAAAUAAUAAUAAAAAAUAAUGCUAUAUUAUUGAAAAAAAACAAUAUAAAUUUUGUUUUAUACUUGACUAUAUUAUUUAUUUAUUUAAAAGUAUGAUAAAGUGAAAUUAAAUCUUCUAUUAAUAUCUAUAUAUUUAUUAUAUAUCUUUCUAAGUAUAUCAUUAGUAUCUAAAAGUACUUUAUUUUAUGUAUAUUAAAAUUACUAUUUUAUAUUUAUAAAUGUUAAAUUAAUACUUACCGGUUCAAGUAGUUAUCCCGUCCCUUUGCCGGAUUUCUUAUCAGGCCGGAUUUAAUAGCCACUCAAGGCUAUGACCCUUUGAUGUCGAGUACUACAGGUGACUCCUUCCCACUGGCAAUGGUGUUGUGAGUGGUUCCGGGAUUUCAGCACUCCAAACGGGUCAUCAUAUAUCUGAUUCUUGAACUCAAGCAGAGCAAGACGAUCAGUCUCAUUUUGAAAUUGUUUAGCAGCUGAAACAUGGCUUACUGAAAAGUUCAUGGCAACUCAGAGUACGAGAAAUAUGUUUGCUAAUGUCGAUGUGCGAAAUCCCCACAUGGUCCUUGUUGGGAUCGGCUACAAACUGAUGAUUGAAUGAUAAAAGUUUCUGUGGAUUGGGAACACGGUUGAGCAGUUAAAGAUUAGAGCUUAAUAAAGAAAUGGUCAGAAUUAAGCAUAUCGACCGUGAUCCAAUUCCUGGUACCGGUAGUUUUUCAAGCCACGAAAAUUACUUGCAAAGCAGAUCGGAAACAAUUAGAAGAUAAAUUCCCAAUGUUUUGCAUUAUGAAUCAUUCAUUCGUUAACCCGACAAAUUCUUAUCAAAGCAAAAGCUAUCUCUAGUGAAUUUUUCAUUGAUAUAUUAUUGAUCCAAAGUAAUUGUACAUCUAUAAAUAAAAUGAUGGAUUCUUAUGAUUUAACAAAAGGGAAAAUUGAUCGAAAAGCUUCUCAUAUUUUAUUAAAUAAAUUUUGUCAUUCCUGAUUUUUAAAUUAUUGACCUUACAUCGCUUACAAAAUCUAAAUCGAUCAAAUUUAGUCUCAAUUGGAUUCUCCGUAAAUUAUGAUGCAGUAUGAGAGAUGAUCAAUAGUCUUCCCAGUUUGGCCCACAAUUAAAAUCAAAUUUAACGGAAGAUGGACUCUCAACUUAGUCUAUCGUCAUCCGAACCAAUACCGAUGGGGGCCAUUCAGUGACUGGAUUAAUGAAUCAUAAUUCAAGACCCAUAAAUGAAACUAAAAAUUUUCCACACGAGUGAUUAUGAACCCCCUAGGGCUCUUUGCCAAGGGCCCAGUUAGCAGACUUAUUAAAUUGGGCAAACUGUACUAAUACCGGCUGAACCUUUUGAAAAAAUUUCUUAUUUUGUUCGCUUGAUUUUUUUUUCCCCAAUUCCAUUUGAUCAUUUAGCUUAGCUUAGAUGCCUCGUCUUUCCCAUUCGUCUAAUUUCUGCCUUUAUCUCACUGAUUAAAAGUUCCCAGAUUUAAUAUGGUAUCUACUCCAGAGACAUUUUCAUCUAUUGUUUUCGUCUGUUUAGAUCUAGAAAUGAGACAUACUGAUAAGAUAUGGGUAUUAAGUAUCGGAUUAAUAGAUGAAAUUGGAUGAAAUGGGCAAAAUAUGAUAUUUACUAUUAGGGUUUUUCUAACGGACGCCUUAAGGUACUCGAUAACACAUUUAAUAUUCACCUAACCUAUCAUAUAUAUAUACACACAUAUAUACACGUAUACUAACAAUCAUUAUCCUCCAUUGCAUUUAUAUACUUUCUCUAUUUAAUUUGGCUUACCAUCCCUUGUAUUUAUUUACUUUUUCUAAUUAACACCUGAAAUAUUGUUUAACGAUGCCCUAUAAAACAAACUGUUACUAUUAUUGUAUAACCUAUUUGAGACACCCCCAACAAAAUAGGAAUACAAAUAAAAAAGGUUAGUACAUUUAGACUGAUUAUGCAGGUGAUGAUGCAUAUGAUUAUCAUGUCUUUUAAUACUAAAUGAAGUUUUUUUUUUUUUUUUUUUAUGACCACCAUGGCCAUCGAUAACUUGAUCGGGCAAUGUAUGGAUAUGCUAGCAAGGGAACAUAUGGGCUUUUUGUGCAAUUGAUUCCUGUCCUCUACCCCUUUAUGUCGUUCUCAUUGUGACUAAGGCUCCGUUUGAUAACACUGAAUCUGAAUUCUGAAUUCUGAAUUCUGAAUACUGAAAUAAUUAAUUUGCUGAAUUUUAAGCACUGAAAAGAUAUAUAUGAAUGUCUGAAUCUUAAUGCUGAAUCUAUUUAUACUGUUUGAUAAAUAUUCAUAACUUAAUGCUUAAUAAGCUAAAUUGUACAAUUUUGUCCUUCUAUCUUUUAAUUCAAAAAGGAAAUAGAACCUAUGAUUUAAUUAAUUUAAAAUUGUUAGGUAUGAAAAUGACAAUGAUUGUGAAGAGCAAUUCAUACAAUGACAAUGUUUCUUUGUGUGGGAAAAGGGUAUGAUUUCAUCGUUUUGAAAAUGGGAAAAUGAGCUUUUAAUACUCCAAAAGCACGUUCAAUUACAUUUCUCAAUCUUGCAUGUGCUUGGUUAAAGCGUUCUUCUUUUGAUCUUGGACGAUAAGCAUUUCGAAAAUCAGACAACCAAUAUCUAAUAUUUCGAUAUGGUGUCAUAAAGCCACGUGUGUGGAUAAGCUGCAUCACAUAAAUAAUAUUUAUCUGCACAAAAAAAUAUCAAAAUAUAAAUGUUUGUGGAUGAAAAUUACUGCAAAAAAAUACUACUAUUGUUAAAAAAAAUUUUUGAAUAGAGAAUAUCAGGUUGUUUUGUUUAAUUAGAUAAGGAUUUUGAAUAGGGAAUAUUAGGUUGUUUAAUUAAAUAAGGAUUUUGAAUGUAAUUAACAAAUAGGGAUAUAUUUGGUAGAUAAGAUAAAGCAGUUGAAGUAAAUCUCUUGAUUCUUAUCAAAUUAAGCAUUCAGCUACGAUUCUUGUGCUGAAAAAAAUACAUACAAAUUCAGCACCACUUAAUAAGUUCAGCAAGUGAAUUUUUAUUUAUCAAACACUCAUAACAUCUGAAUGUCUGAAUGAAUUCAGUUUCAGCACUUUUUUAUGUUAUCAAACAGGCACUAAGAUUUCAUGUGGUAGCAAAAUCAACAUUCAAAGAAAGGCAUGCUAAUGUAAAUCAAUCAUAGGAGCAAGAGCAUGCCCUGUAAUUAAGUACUGUACGAUUUAUUGUAUAAUGUUUAUUAUGGAAACAUAAGAUUCAAAACAUUCAGUUCCUAUAAAGAAAGAGCAUACCACAUGAACAGCUAUCAGUUCAGUUCAUAUUUGAGUCGUCCAUUUAAUUUUUUAAAUAAGAGAGCCAAAGGUGUCUUCUUUAGCUGCUCACACAGCUAUCAACUUCAGCUCAGAGAUUCAGACCAACAAACAGCUGCAAAUCCAGAUACAUCUUUUUCCACGCUAGUGAGCACAACACAUAAUUCCUUUUUUUUUUCUUUUUCUUUUGGCUAAAAUAGAUUCUGAAUGGUAGAAGUGAGUUAGCUUGCAAGACUGGUCAAGAAAAAAUCGUUUAUCUAAAAUAGAAAAACUGAACCUCAAUUUGUGACUGUAUUAAAUUCUCAUAUAUACCAGUUGCUAUUAAACUUCAAGAUUUUCCUGAGCUACCCUGACACCAAGAAAAACACCCUUAAUGAGAUGUAAUUCGCUGACAACUUCAUUCAUGUGCAUCCGAUCAUUUGGCAAUCUUUGUGAGCAUUUGAGGCCGAGUUCCAACAGGGAAAUAACACACUCCAUCUCUCUUCCACCAUUGAUCAUUCUUCUGUUUCCAUCUCCUGCUUUACAAAGAAUCAAGGGGUCCACGAUCUCACAAACUUGUUCAGACAGAGCUCUAUUAACAUAGUUAUGCAGAUCUAGCUCAUCCAUAAACAUAUCAUCCGUUGGCCUCCUCCUAGUGAUCAUCUCUAGCAAGAGAAUCCCAUAACUGUAGACAUCCCCAAGAGUUGAUGCCGCAAGACCCAUUCCGUAUUCUGAACUUUGUACAAGAAAAUCUUUAAAAAAUAGGGAAAAUUAUCUAAGGGAGAUAAUUGGAUCAAUUGUUUAGACAUAUAAUUUAGGGAAGGGGUGGGUUGGGCUGAACCUCCUACUUAUAAUAAUUAAAACAAAACCUAUAAUUUGAGAGUUUGAUUAGUCUGCACACAAUUAAGUAAAAUCUUGACAACAAAAAUUUGCAUUACCUGUGGCUGCGUAACCGAUUGUUCCUUUUAUAGCAAUGGUACUGCUACCUUCUUGCUCGGAAGAUCUGUUGACGGGUUUCGGGAGAAGCCUUGCCAAUCCAAAAUCACCCACAUGUGCAACAAGAUCACUGUCAAGAAGAAUGUUACUUGGUUUUAGAUCACAAUGAACAAUCUCUGCUUCACAGUGGUUGUGAAGAUACUGCAAUGCUGAAGCCACAUCAAUUGCAAUGUUCAGCUUCUGAGAAAGAUUAAGGCUUCUUGAGCUUGUUGGUUUAUCAGUUGUCUCUGGAUGCAGCCACAGGUCCAGAUUUCCAUUUUCCAUAAACUCAUAGACUAGAGCUUUGAAUUCAUCAUCCUUGGAAUCAAUACUGGAGCAAUAACUCACGAUAGAGACAAUGUUUCUAUGGCGAAUAUUUCUCAAUGCUUUGCACUCGGCCUUAAAACUUGUGGAAGCCCCAUUCUUUCGAAGAUCAAGAACUUUGACUGCUACAAGCAUAUUGCCAUGUUUAUCUAGCCUUCCUUUGUAGACAGCUCCAAAAUUUCCUGAACCAAUUAAGUUUUCUGGAGAAAAUCCUGAAGUUGCACGAUGAAGUUCAUGGUAAGAAAUUCGCAAAAGCUCAUCGAUUCUUGGGGGCAUGCUAGAGAAUCCGGCCACCGGUCUUCUUUCUCUUUUUCGAUAUACCAAGAAAUAUAACACUGUCACAAGAACCAGAAGCGUUGCCGGUAAAAGAAUGGACAGCAAUAUGACAACCUUCAGCUUUCCUCUGUUUUUCCCCUUAAUCACUGGGCAAGGAGGGAACUCCAAUUCUGGAAUGCCUCCACAGAGUUUGUUGUUGCCAAUCAAUGAUAUCUGCCUUGCAUUGCUGAAAAUCCCUGUGUUUGGUAUCUCGCCCUCGAUGUCGUUGUAGGAAAGGUUUAAGUACCUCAAAUAUUGAAGCUUCUCAAGGUCCUUUGGUGUUGGACCAGUCAAGUUAUUACUUGAAAGGUCUAAUUGCUGGAUGCUCUUCCAAGAAGCCAAAUUUGGUGGAAUUGUUCCUUGGAAAAAAUUGGAUUGCAUAUAAAGAUUCUCCAGAUCUGUACAAUCAGCAAGUGAUAUGGGUAUAUCUCCAGCAAAUUGGUUGUGGGAAACAUUGAAAUCCACCAAAUGUAUAAGCUUUCCAACUUCCGGAGGCAGAGAUCCACUAAACGAAUUCUCACCUAUUUUCAUGUACAUCAGUGAUGAGUGCGUCUGCAGAAAAUGUGCUGAAAUAAUUCCAGUGAAGUUGUUUUGAGAUAUAUCCAGAUAUUGCAAAUUUUGACAGUUCAUAAGAACAUUGUCAAAUAUAUUGCCCCCUUCAAACUGGUUAAAUGAUAAGUCCAGAUAGAAUAGAUUGGUGUUGUUGCAUAGGGUAGAGACUAUCUGUCCUGACAAGUCAUUAUGGUCCAGACGCAAUCCUUGCAAAUUUGGUAACUUGCCAAAAUCUCUUGGAAUAAUCCCUGAAAAAGAGUUCACUUCAAGGCCAAGUUGAAUUAGGUUGACAAAGUUUCCAAAUCCUUGUGGAAUGGUUCCUGACAGUUGGUUUCCUCCCACGAGCAAUUCAGUGAGUUGAUUUGAGAGAUUGGCCAUGAUUUUAGGUACAUUACCUCCAAGUUUAUUGCCACUCAAGGAAAGAAUUCUUAGAUUACUGCAGUUGGUCAGUGAUGCAAUAAAAUCCAAAUCUCCUGUAGAAUUAUUGCCGAAGAGAUUGUGAUAAAGAUUAACACUUUUGAGUUGUGUCAGAUUUCCUAAAUUAGCUGGAACUUGGCCUUCAAACUUAUUGCGGGAAAGAUCGAGUACCUCAAGCCCAGAAGCAUUGGUGAUUGAAAUUGGAAAGUUUCCCCCAACACCUAAUUCUUCCAGAUUUGGUAAGGUGAGACCUAUGUUGGUUGGGAGAUUGCCAUGAAAGGAAUUGCCGGCCACUGAAAUGACAGUAAUGGCUGAACUAUUAAAGAUGGAGGCAGGGAUUAUACCAGAUAGUUUAUUUUCUGCAGCUGAAAAUAUAGAUAACCUUUUUAAGAGCCCCAUUUCCAUGGGCAAAUUUCCCUCCAGAUUGUUAAAGGCAAGACUGAGUGUAGUCAGCGAUGAUAAGUUCCCAAUGGAGGAGGGAAUCUCUCCUGUCAAAUUGUUUGCGUGAAGAUAAAAAUUUUCAAGCUUCUUCAAAUUGCUCAGCUGAUCAAUCGGAAUUUUCCCUUCUAGCUUGUUCUCGAUUAGGCUAAUGGUUAGCAACUCUGAGCAGUAGUUCAAGUUUGCCGGGAUUUUUCCACUGAUUGCGUUACUUGAGAGGUUCAAGGCUCUCAGCCUGAAGAGGCGACCGAAUUCUUGGGGAAUCUCACCAUGGAAUUGACUCUCCCCAAGUUCCAUAAACCUCAUGAAGCUUAGAUUUCCGACAUGAGGAGAUAUGGUUCCAGACAACUGCUUAUCCCUUAGAGUCAAGUACUGCAGGUGACUCCUUCCCACUGACAAUGGUGUUGUGAAUGGUUCCAAGAAUUCAGGACUCCAAACGGGUCAUCAUAUAUCUGCUUCUUGAAUUCAAGCAGAGCAAGGCGAUCGGUCUCAUUUUGAAAUUGUUUAGAAGCUGAAACAUGGCUUACUGAAAAGAUCAUGGCAACUAAGAGAAGGAGAAAUAUGUUUGCUAAUGUUGAUGAUGAGCGAAAUCCCCACAUGGUAUUGGGAACUUCCAUGAGCUGUUGGAUGCGAAGAUGGAUUAAUUUGCAACAAAUUGAUGAUUGAAUGAUAAAAGUUUCUGCGGAAUGGGAACAAUGUUUCUGCGGAAUGGAAUGGGUAGUUCUGCUUAUAUUAGCCCAAACAACUGGAACGAAAUAAUUUCUUGGUAUAUUUUCGAGUAAAAUGAGCUAAACUUCGUUUUGAGAACUUAAUGCAGAAAUGGUCAGCGAGCUUCCACCAACUUACAAUUUAGUAACCUAAUAAAACAAACACGCAAGAUGAUUAUUGGUCCUUUACGUAUCAACGACCAUCAAUUUGGAAAAUGGCCUAGACAGCGACUUUAUAGAAAUCAAAUGCGCUUCUAUUUCUAAAUUCUAGCGUGCAUUUUUCAGUCAAUCUGCCUAGGGGAGUCAGUUGCUCUGCUCUAAGUCUACACAAACAUACAAAACUGAGCACAAAUAAUUUAUCUGAGGUUGGAGAAAAUGUAUUCUUUUUUCUUGACCUAAACAAUAAAAGUAUUCUCUUUGUCUUAGUUAGUUAUAUUUUUAUUCCUUUUUCCUCAUCUUCUAAUUGACAACCAACCUAAUGUCUUCUCUCAACUUACACUUCUUUGUGUGUUUUACGAGAUGUCAACCACAAUUUUUGCGAUGACUAGUCAGCGGCGGAUUUGUAUGUAGGGGCAUGGAGCACCGAAUUCCAUUAGUAUAGCCUUCAAUUUUAGUAAUUUUUUCGCUUUGCCCCCCAAUAAAUUUUCCUCAAAAGUGAAUGCACCGCUCCAAAAUCAAAUGACUAGGUUUGCAAUUUGAUGGAAUUGGAAUACUAAACAAUUCAAAAUCAAAUGCUUUUUACUCUAAUCAUUUGGUUUCCUUGAAAGUCAUUUUAAUUUACUACUCAUUAAUUAAAUACUUUCUUUGGACUUUUUCCAAUAAAAUAAAUAUGGAAUUAAGUAAUCCUUUGUGAAAUGAACAAUAAAGAGAAAGCAAUAUUUUCCAAUACAGCAUACUUAACAAUAUCGUAGGCAAACGAGCAGAUUAAAAAUGUUUAGCAUGCUUUUUUAAAAGAAAAUGAUUAUUUUAUUAGUAAGUUUUAGCAUGUCAUUUUGGGUUAUAUUAAUCAUGAUAUGCAUGUAUUACAUUUACUUGUUAUACAAAUGCUAUUGUUAUGGCUUUCAGAAAAAAAAAAAAAAGAAGAAACUUUAAUAUUAAUUUUGCUUCUGCUAGAAAUUAUUUCUGGCUCUGCGCUGUGACUAGAGGUGGCAAAUCAACCCACUUAACUAAAUUUACCCAUACCCGUCCGUGAAUAGAUGGGUAUGGGUAUCUUAAAUUUUUGUAUAUGGGUAUAAAUGGGUUACCCAAUAAUACUCAUUUAUUAAAUGGGUAUUAUUGAGUAACCCAUCAAACCCAAUUAACCCAUUUAGAAUUCUCUUCCCCCCAAGUCUCUUCUUUACCCCCACCUUUUUUGUUUCAAAUUUUUUAUUUUGUCAUGAUGUUAACUACUUUUGUUUCAUUAUUAUUAUUAUUAUUAUUAUUAUUAUUAUUAUUAUUAUUAUUAUUAUUAUUUGUUGGUUUUAUCUUAUUAUUUUAUUUUCUCUUAGUUUGUUAACUUGCUCAUUUUUUAGCAUUACCAAUUUAUGAUAAAUUUUAGCCUAUUUUCUUAUCUUUAUAAAAUGAAAUUUUAAAUUUAUAUAUGAAAAAAAUGUUAGGGGUUCAAAAUUUUUGGAUUAAGUUUUUAUAUUAAUUUUUAUAGUAUUUAGUUCAAAUUUUUAUAUUCUUAUUAUUCAAUUAUUAAAUAAUAGGUAAUUUUGUGACAGAGUAUAAAUGAAAAAAAAUUGGUAAUUAAGUUUAUUGAACAUUAUAAGUAAAUAUUUAAAACUAAUAAUGGGUACAAAAAGUUGUGUAAAUUGAUAACUUAGUUUGCAAAAAUGAAUUUAAAUUAGUUUACAAAAAGUUAAAAUAAAUGGAUUAUAAAUGGGUAAUUGGGUUAUCCAAUUCAUUUUUUGACUUACCCAUUUAUACCCAUCUAAUUAAAUAGGUAUAAAUGAGUUGACUCACUUAUACCCAUUACCCAUUUUACCCAACCCAAACCCGCCCAAGUCACCCAUUUUGACACCUCUAGCUGUGACCGGUGUAAAGGUUUCCAUUAGCAUGUUCGUAUCUCAGAAAACUUUUUCUAUGAGAAACAUUAUUUCCAAAAGCUAAACAGUAAAAUUAAUAGAAUGGAAAAAUCGUCCAACAGAUCAAAUUUGGUUCAAAGUUUUAUGCAUGAUUAAGUUUCUUUCUUAUUUAUUCUUAGGUAAGUUAUACUUUAUCAUCUUGUGUAUCAGAGCCUUUGCACAUAAUCCCUUCGUGAUUAAACUAAAGUGUCAAGCGAUAGGAGAUAACGUUCAAACUAUAGAAUCUCACCUCAAACAAAGACCCUAGGAAGUAAUUGGAUCUACCAUUGUUUUUGGUAUAAAAGUUCCUAUAAAAUUGGGAAAUGCCUAUAAUGGAUUAACUGAAAUGUCAAGAUUACCCUCGUUUCAAAGCUAAAAUGACUGGAAUGGCAAAAAUAUAUACAAAUGUAGUAUGCAUUACACUUUAGCCCCUAUAAUUUAGCAUUUUUGCAAAUAACCCUCUUACGAUUUUCUAAUCUAUGUAUAACCCUCAUCAUGUGGUUAAUAAAUAAUUUCCAUCUUGACAUUGGAAUAAUUCUAAUAUUUUAAUCAACUUUGCCACAAAGGAAAAAUGUGAGGAAACCAUAUUUUUAAUCAACUCUUAAAACCAUAGGAGAGCUAAGUGAUAGCUCAAUCCCACACCAUAAAGUUAAGACAUGUCAGACUAGAAUAUAAAUAGGAAUUUAAGAGUUCAAAUUAAAAUUGAGACAUUCAUUUUGUCCUAAUUAGGACGGAACUUAAAAUCUUAAAUAAUUAGAUUUGACCGCUAACGCUCGGGGUUAGGUGAACAGAUUUUCAAGCUAGGGCCUCUUUUUUGGAAUGAUAACCAAUUAUAAGGGUCCAUUUGGUUCAUGGAUGAUAUAGAAUUGGAUUAAUCAUCCUGUGUGUCAUUCCGUAUUUGGUUGCAUUUUAUAUAUAAGAUGACACAUUCCAAUUAAUCGAAUUAAUCCCCUAUAUAUGGGAUAAAAUAAUCCCAUGAAAGAGGUGAUAUUAGUCAUCCUGGAAUGACUAAGAGAUAGGAUGAUGAAAUAUUAGACUAACUUAUUCUUACAAAUAAUAUAAAUUUAUACUAUCAUAAUUAUAUAACCUUACCCUCACAUGAUAAUAUACUAUGAAUAGACUAAUUUGCCCCUACAAAUUAAUUUAUAAUUUUUGACUAAUUUGCUUCUACCACUAACAUAACAAUAUUUGAACUAAUUUGCUCUUGCGAAUGAUACAAAUUCAUACUGAAUAUUAUAUAACCAUAUUCUCACAUAAUAACAUGAUAAUAAAUGGAUUAAUUUGCCCCUACUAAUUAUAUUAAAAGAUUACUAAUUUGCCCCCAUUCAUUUUUUAAAAUUUUUGACAAAUUCACCCUUAUUAAUUAAUCUAAAUUUUUUGACUAAUUUGCCCCUACUUCAUAAUAAAAGGACUAUAUUAUCGGUGGACUAAAUUGCCCUUACAAACCUUAUUUUCUCAACCAAAUUCUAUAGAAAUACAUAACCUUAUCAAUUGGGCUUUGCAAAUGAGGGCUUCAAUAAGCUCCACCUUCGCCCAGAGAAAAAUUUUCUAUAUUGGCUUGAGUUUGGUUGAUUUAAGGGAUAAUUUCAGAAACCUCCCCUGAGGUUUCUGACAAUUUCAUUGAGCUCCCAUAAGAUUUGAAAAAUUGCACUUACCUCCCUUGAUUUGAUAGUUUUAGUAACAAAAUCUUAAAAUAAUAUUGACUUGGUCAAUUUUUAAAUGAAUACCCAAAAAUAUCCUUGUGUAAUGAGUUUUAAUUUAUUUUUCUAUACAAUUAUAAGAUUAUAUAAUAUAAUUAUAAGGAAAAUGUGCCAAAAUUUUCAUGUUCAUAUCUACUAUUUGAUAAACAACUAUAAUAAUAAUUUUAUUACUAUGAUAUGAUACUUUUGAUGGUAUUUUAUUAUGGAUUUAGAUUUAUAAGAUAGAAAAAAUAUUGAAAUAAUUAAUUUAGAAUUUAUGAAUUUUUGGAGUAGUGGGAUUAUCAUAAUUUAAUAGUGCUUUUGGGCCAUUUCUUUUUGAUUUAUUGUUACUUUUAAUACCAAAAAUAGAAAACAAAGAUCAGCAAAAAACAUUGGAUUACAUAUAAAAUUAAUUCGUCAAAAAAAUCACUAGUUCGACAUUUGGUUAUAAUAGAAACUAGGGCAAUAGUGGUAGUUUUACAAUUUUAUUAGCGAAAAAUUAGAAAAAAAUGAAUAAGAAGGAAAAAUAAUGAAAAAUAAUUUUAAAACUCAUUCUAAGUAUAAGUAUACAAAAUAAGGGAUUUUCAUUAAAAUAUUUAGGGUUAAAUGCAAAAAACCCCCACAAACUAUAUACCCAGUUGCAGUUUACCCCCUAAACUAUAAUAAUAAGCAUUUUCGCCCUUGAAUGAUAUGUUUGGACAACACUACCCCUACUAUCUUAAAUCCUUUCUCUUUUUUUUUUCUCUAUUAGCUUUUUUCAUUUUUUCCUUUUAUUUUCUUUUUUUCUCCUUCUCUCGUGGAACUAGCCAACGUCUCUCUCCGAUGUGAAAAGACUUACAUAAAAAAUUUUACAAUUUUUUAAACUGCUUUUUAAUUUCUUUAUUUGUUAAAUUCAUUCUUAAUUUUUUGUCAUAAAUUCUUUGUUAUUACAAAAUAUAAGUAGCUUAUAUUGUAAAGUGUAUUAAUCUAGUUAUUCAACAAUUUAAGUACCUAUAAACUAAUUAAGAGUUCACAGUUACUCAACUACUUAUAAUAAAAGUAACAUAUUAUAUAUCACAUAAAAAUGAAAAGUUAGCAAUUUUUAUUUGUAGUGAAAUAAAAAAUAAGAAUAAACAACAAUAGUAGUUCAUUUUGUUUGUUAUUGAUACUACUAAUAAUUGAUUAAUCAAUUUCUCUAUUUUAUUAUUAUAUAUUUGAAAAGUUCAAUUUCUUAAAUGACAUUGACUUCAAUAUUUGGAAAAAAAAUCUUGUAUUCCAUAGAUUUUUUUUUAUAAAAUAUUGACAUACGAAAUUAAGAAAUAAACAAAUUUUGACUAAUCUAGUCUACUUAUUUAAACAAUGUUUAAAGAAAAAAAAGGAAGAAUUUAAAAAGAUAAUGAUAGGGAAAAAAGAAAAAAUAACAAUGCUUAAAAUAAAAGGGGUAGAUUUGUCCAAACAUAUCAUUCAAGGGGGCAAAAUGCCUAUUAUUAUAGUUUAGGAGGUAAACUGCAACUGGGUAUAUAGUUUGUGGGGGUUUUUUGCAUUUAACCCAAAUAUUUAAGAGUACAAUUGUCAUUUUAAAUGACAAGGGAGGUAUGUGUAAUUUUUCAAACUUCAGGGGAGCUCAAUGAAAUUGUCAGAUAUCUCAGGGGAGGUUUCUGAAAUCAUCCCUUGAUUUAAAACUCUUAAGUGGGUUGGACUUUAUUCAAUUUAACCCUCGUUUAGCCAAAACUCGGCCAAUUUUUUAAUUGAAUUUCAAAUUUAGAUUCAAAAACUAGGUUAAACUUAUUUUUAAAGGUCCGAAUGGGUUGAGUUUGAGUGAAUGCAAAUUUUUAUAUAUUAAAACUCUUGAUUUAUUUUAUAAUUCUAAGGUUUCAAAUUAUUUUAUUUUAAUAAAAGUUAUAAAUUAUUAAAUUAUUUUACUAAAACGAUCCUACAAAUUAAGGGGUACUUUGAUCAUUAAAAUAGUAAUCUUAUCUCAUCUAAUAUCUAAUCAAACACAUGAUUGAGUUAUUUUUCAAUAUAUCAUAUUCAACCUAGAACCAACCAAACACUAGAUAACUUGGAUUAUUAAUUUGAGGAUGACUUAACCCAGGAUUAAUAAUCCAAGGAUGAGUCUUUCUAUUUCAUCUGGUCUGUGAACUAAACAAACCCUAAAGCCCUGAAAACAAAUAAAUUGGGUAAUAAGGUAGGAGCCUUUAUGCUUACAAAUCAAAUGAUUUGGAUGUAAAAUGGCUUAUCGUCCUCUCAACUGUAUAUAAAUCUAUGCCUUUUUUUAAUUUUGAAUAAUUACCAUUAUUUUAGUUCAACAGAUGGAUGGGCUAAAUGUAGACGUCUCACUACUAAAUGCACACGUUUUAUUAUUCAAUUAAAUAAAAAGAACAAAUGCUUAAAAUAGAGAAAACGAUCCUUUGCAGACUGAAUAAAAAGUUGGCAUUUUGGCAAAAAAAAAAAAAAAAGAGUUGGCGCGUCGAUAAAUCCCUGCAGACUGUAGUUUUUUUUUUUUCUCUUUUUUUUGGAGCAAAAUAGAAAAGAGUUAGAUAAAUCACCGUUUGUGCCACCACAAAAAUUACAGCAAAAUGCCACCUAUGAUAAAGCGAAUUCAUGCUAGAUAUAAAAUCUGUUUCAAUGGAAAAAAAAAGUUUAGUAAAACUUUUAAGUGCAUUUAUUUCAAAUGAAUGCAAUUAUUGGAACUAAUUACACAUAAUAAUCACUACAAAUGAAUAUUCAAAAAUAGCUCAAUAAAAAUAUAGUUACCUGUAUGUUCAAACAUGAGGGAAGACGGCAAUAAAGGCACGGGGAGCUGGGGAAUAAGAUCAAUUAUAUUCCCAGAUAUUGGUGGCUAAAAAACUUCUUUAACCCAAUCUUCAAAUGCUCGAGCAGAGUUGAGCCGGUUGACUUCAACUUUUAAAUCAGCAUGACUAACACGACAAAACAAGAAAAUAAAAUGUUUAAAGCAUACAUUUAUUUUCCAAGUAAAAAUCCAUAAGUAUGUAUCUCUUCAAGAGUGCACCAGCUAGCAAUUUCACCUCGGAGCUUCAGAUCUGCAUACAGCUGCAAAUCCAAAGAAAGCCACGCGUUAUCCCUUCCCACCAAGAAGAUAUCCAUUUCCUUGCUAGGGAGUGAAUUAAGACUGACAGGGUGUCGAAGCCUGUGCAAUAAUAAAUACCUGCUCAAACUAAAAUUAAUUUCUGUAGAUAGCGGUGAGCAGGGUCGAAUCCACAGGGACUGGGAGUAAUUGUUUCUUUUCAAGUUCACAGUGACAAGGGGGGUGUUUUUAUGCAGAAAGUGACAAUCAAAUAAAUGCAAAUAAAAUCUAAGAAGCUACUAAAAAUUAAAUAACAAAUUACCAAAAUCAAAUGAAUGAUAAUUAAGGAUCUAGCCAAGGAAUAACUUCAGCAAUGGUUCACCCAAUUGAUCAUCGAUAAGCAAAGGCAAUCCCAAUUAUUUACUAAUAAAUAGGUUAUAACUGCCAAACAAGCGAUGACAGUCAACCCCUCCUUACUGUGUCGAUGAUUAAGGUACGCCCGUUAAUCACUGCUCUAAUUGAGAAAUAAUCCUAGGUACGCCCGUAGAAUUUAAUUCCCCAAUUGCCUUACGUAUUAGAGGAGCCCUAUUCUAAUCAAAUAACGCACUACCAGGGUUAUUUUAGAUUAGCCCGUGUAUUCCCCUGACACAAGUCUAAUUAUGCCAGUUGCCACUAUUUUAGAGCAAUUAAACAAUUACGGAUUUAAUGCCCUAAUUGACAAUAGAUUAUCCAAUCAACUAAUUAUCUGGAUCCAAGACAAUCAAUUAAUUAAAUAACCAUAAACAUAGCAACCAAGAAAUAUGCGGAUACCAAUAAAUAAAAGAAAAAGAUAAAAUUAAAUCGAUCUCACAAAUUUUAGGCGACCCAGAGCCUUCGUUGUCCCUUGACUAGACAAAGGGAUUUAGUUCAUGUUUGCAGAACAAAGCCCAAACAGAAUUGCAGAGAGAGACGCAGCCAUCAAUUGGGCAAAUGCCCAAGUUCAAUUCGUUUGAAGGAGUAAGCUAAGCUAUCCUGCCAUGCGUAAGAAAAGUAAAAAGCAAAGCUCCAGGAAAAGUCAACAAUAAAGCUCCUAAGCUACAGACGAAAGACUAAGCAAAGCCAGCCAUCCUUUCCUCUCUGAAGCAUUCUACUCUAAUGCCUCGCCAUUGUGCGGCGGCUCUCCUCCGAGAGGAGGAAAAUUCGAGAGAGACCCAAGAAGACUUCGGCCUCCUCCUUUUAAUGCUGUCUGCGGGCCAAUUACCAAGAAGGGUUGUGGUUUGAUAUUCCAAAAAUGUCCCUAGAUGCCUGCUACUUGAACUCUUUCUUGAUAAUUGUCAAAUUGGCCUUGAUUGUGAUAUUUUUGUUCUACUCCCUGAAAUAAAUAUAAAUUACGAAAAAUGAGUAGAAUCUAAUAAUUAAUUCAUAUCAAGUUAGGUAAUAGGGGAAAUUAAUAAUAAAAUAAAUGACAAAAUUGCAACCUAUCAA
RNAcentral lists this long non-coding RNA (21175 nucleotides) under Coffea arabica (coffee). RNAcentral describes it as "long non-coding RNA (CARA_LNC005745)". Lineage: Eukaryota; Viridiplantae; Streptophyta; Magnoliopsida; Gentianales; Rubiaceae. The record is from RNAcentral.